UACGUAGGGGGCCAGCGUUGCUCGGAAUUACUGGGCGUAAAGGGUUCGUAGGUGGCCAACUAAGUCAGACGUGAAAUCCCUCAGCUUAACUGGGGAACUGCGUCUGAUACUGGUUGGCUUGAGUGCAGGAGAGGAACGCGGAAUUCCAGGUGUAGCGGUGAAAUGCGUAGAUAUCGUAAGGAAGACCAGUGGCGAAGGCGGGUCUCUGGACAGUUCCUGACGCUGAGGCACGAAGGCCAGGGGAGCAAACGGG
This 253-nucleotide ribosomal RNA is filed under the name uncultured bacterium. Its description in RNAcentral is "partial 16S ribosomal RNA". It matches the Rfam family "Bacterial small subunit ribosomal RNA", at positions 524 to 776 of the family's 1533-position model. The record is from RNAcentral.